CCUACGGGAGGCAGCAGUAGGGAAUAUUGCUCAAUGGGGGAAACCCUGAAGCAGCAACGCCGCGUGGAGGAUGACGGUUUUCGGAUUGGAAACUCCUUUUUUUAGAGAAGUUAAUGACGGUAUCUAACGAAUAAGCACCGGCUAACUCCGUGCCAGCAGCCGCGGUAAUACGGAGGGUGCAAGCGUUAAUCGGAAUCACUGGGCGUAAAGCGAGCGUAGGCGGGUUAGCAAGUCAGAUGUGAAAUCCUACGGCUUAACCAUAAAACUGCAUUUGAAACUGUCAUUCUAGAGUAUAGGAGAGGUAGGUGGAAUUCUUGGUGUAGGGGUAAAAUCCGUAGAUAUCAAGAGGAAUCCUCAUUGCGAAGGCGACCUGCUAGAACAUAACUGACGCUGAUGCGCGAAAGCGUGGGGAGCAAACAGGAUUAGAUACCCGAGUAGUC
This 440-nucleotide ribosomal RNA is filed under the name uncultured bacterium. Its description in RNAcentral is "partial 16S ribosomal RNA". It matches the Rfam family "Bacterial small subunit ribosomal RNA", at positions 338 to 795 of the family's 1533-position model. The record is from RNAcentral.